Molecule: ribosomal RNA, 219 nt
Filed under: uncultured bacterium
Lineage: Bacteria
Description: partial 16S ribosomal RNA
Rfam family: Bacterial small subunit ribosomal RNA
Source: RNAcentral
UACAGAGGGGGCAAGCGUUAUUCGGAAUUAUUGGGCGUAAAGGGCGCGUAGGCGGUUCUUCAAGUCUCUCGUGAAAUCCCUCGGCUUAACUGAGGACGUGCGGGAGAUACUGAAGGGCUUGAGUCCGGAAGAGGGUGGUGGAAUUCCCAGUGUAGCGGUGAAAUGCGUAGAUAUUGGGAGGAACGACCGGGUGGCGAAGGCGGCCACCUGGGCCGGAAC